Molecule: ribosomal RNA, 2925 nt
Filed under: Escherichia coli
Lineage: Bacteria; Pseudomonadati; Pseudomonadota; Gammaproteobacteria; Enterobacterales; Enterobacteriaceae
Description: 23S ribosomal RNA
Rfam family: Bacterial large subunit ribosomal RNA
Source: RNAcentral
GGGUUGUGAGGUUAAGCGACUAAGCGUACACGGUGGAUGCCCUGGCAGUCAGAGGCGAUGAAGGACGUGCUAAUCUGCGAUAAGCGUCGGUAAGGUGAUAUGAACCGUUAUAACCGGCGAUUUCCGAAUGGGGAAACCCAGUGUGUUUCGACACACUAUCAUUAACUGAAUCCAUAGGUUAAUGAGGCGAACCGGGGGAACUGAAACAUCUAAGUACCCCGAGGAAAAGAAAUCAACCGAGAUUCCCCCAGUAGCGGCGAGCGAACGGGGAGCAGCCCAGAGCCUGAAUCAGUGUGUGUGUUAGUGGAAGCGUCUGGAAAGGCGCGCGAUACAGGGUGACAGCCCCGUACACAAAAAUGCACAUACUGUGAGCUCGAUGAGUAGGGCGGGACACGUGGUAUCCUGUCUGAAUAUGGGGGGACCAUCCUCCAAGGCUAAAUACUCCUGACUGACCGAUAGUGAACCAGUACCGUGAGGGAAAGGCGAAAAGAACCCCGGCGAGGGGAGUGAAAAAGAACCUGAAACCGUGUACGUACAAGCAGUGGGAGCACGCUUAGGCGUGUGACUGCGUACCUUUUGUAUAAUGGGUCAGCGACUUAUAUUCUGUAGCAAGGUUAACCGAAUAGGGGAGCCGAAGGGAAACCGAGUCUUAACUGGGCGUUAAGUUGCAGGGUAUAGACCCGAAACCCGGUGAUCUAGCCAUGGGCAGGUUGAAGGUUGGGUAACACUAACUGGAGGACCGAACCGACUAAUGUUGAAAAAUUAGCGGAUGACUUGUGGCUGGGGGUGAAAGGCCAAUCAAACCGGGAGAUAGCUGGUUCUCCCCGAAAGCUAUUUAGGUAGCGCCUCGUGAAUUCAUCUCCGGGGGUAGAGCACUGUUUCGGCAAGGGGGUCAUCCCGACUUACCAACCCGAUGCAAACUGCGAAUACCGGAGAAUGUUAUCACGGGAGACACACGGCGGGUGCUAACGUCCGUCGUGAAGAGGGAAACAACCCAGACCGCCAGCUAAGGUCCCAAAGUCAUGGUUAAGUGGGAAACGAUGUGGGAAGGCCCAGACAGCCAGGAUGUUGGCUUAGAAGCAGCCAUCAUUUAAAGAAAGCGUAAUAGCUCACUGGUCGAGUCGGCCUGCGCGGAAGAUGUAACGGGGCUAAACCAUGCACCGAAGCUGCGGCAGCGACGCUUAUGCGUUGUUGGGUAGGGGAGCGUUCUGUAAGCCUGUGAAGGUGUACUGUGAGGUAUGCUGGAGGUAUCAGAAGUGCGAAUGCUGACAUAAGUAACGAUAAAGCGGGUGAAAAGCCCGCUCGCCGGAAGACCAAGGGUUCCUGUCCAACGUUAAUCGGGGCAGGGUGAGUCGACCCCUAAGGCGAGGCCGAAAGGCGUAGUCGAUGGGAAACAGGUUAAUAUUCCUGUACUUGGUGUUACUGCGAAGGGGGGACGGAGAAGGCUAUGUUGGCCGGGCGACGGUUGUCCCGGUUUAAGCGUGUAGGCUGGUUUUCCAGGCAAAUCCGGAAAAUCAAGGCUGAGGCGUGAUGACGAGGCACUACGGUGCUGAAGCAACAAAUGCCCUGCUUCCAGGAAAAGCCUCUAAGCAUCAGGUAACAUCAAAUCGUACCCCAAACCGACACAGGUGGUCAGGUAGAGAAUACCAAGGCGCUUGAGAGAACUCGGGUGAAGGAACUAGGCAAAAUGGUGCCGUAACUUCGGGAGAAGGCACGCUGAUAUGUAGGUGAAGUCCCUCGCGGAUGGAGCUGAAAUCAGUCGAAGAUACCAGCUGGCUGCAACUGUUUAUUAAAAACACAGCACUGUGCAAACACGAAAGUGGACGUAUACGGUGUGACGCCUGCCCGGUGCCGGAAGGUUAAUUGAUGGGGUUAGCGCAAGCGAAGCUCUUGAUCGAAGCCCCGGUAAACGGCGGCCGUAACUAUAACGGUCCUAAGGUAGCGAAAUUCCUUGUCGGGUAAGUUCCGACCUGCACGAAUGGCGUAAUGAUGGCCAGGCUGUCUCCACCCGAGACUCAGUGAAAUUGAACUCGCUGUGAAGAUGCAGUGUACCCGCGGCAAGACGGAAAGACCCCGUGAACCUUUACUAUAGCUUGACACUGAACAUUGAGCCUUGAUGUGUAGGAUAGGUGGGAGGCUUUGAAGUGUGGACGCCAGUCUGCAUGGAGCCGACCUUGAAAUACCACCCUUUAAUGUUUGAUGUUCUAACGUUGACCCGUAAUCCGGGUUGCGGACAGUGUCUGGUGGGUAGUUUGACUGGGGCGGUCUCCUCCUAAAGAGUAACGGAGGAGCACGAAGGUUGGCUAAUCCUGGUCGGACAUCAGGAGGUUAGUGCAAUGGCAUAAGCCAGCUUGACUGCGAGCGUGACGGCGCGAGCAGGUGCGAAAGCAGGUCAUAGUGAUCCGGUGGUUCUGAAUGGAAGGGCCAUCGCUCAACGGAUAAAAGGUACUCCGGGGAUAACAGGCUGAUACCGCCCAAGAGUUCAUAUCGACGGCGGUGUUUGGCACCUCGAUGUCGGCUCAUCACAUCCUGGGGCUGAAGUAGGUCCCAAGGGUAUGGCUGUUCGCCAUUUAAAGUGGUACGCGAGCUGGGUUUAGAACGUCGUGAGACAGUUCGGUCCCUAUCUGCCGUGGGCGCUGGAGAAUUGAGGGGGGCUGCUCCUAGUACGAGAGGACCGGAGUGGACGCAUCACUGGUGUUCGGGUUGUCAUGCCAAUGGCACUGCCCGGUAGCUAAAUGCGGAAGAGAUAAGUGCUGAAAGCAUCUAAGCACGAAACUUGCCCCGAGAUGAGUUCUCCCUGACUCCUUGAGAGUCCUGAAGGAACGUUGAAGACGACGACGUUGAUAGGCCGGGUGUGUAAGCGCAGCGAUGCGUUGAGCUAACCGGUACUAAUGAACCGUGAGGCUUAACCUUACAACGCCGAAG